Monodelphis domestica (gray short-tailed opossum) is the source of this 46-nucleotide non-coding RNA. The record is from Rfam. NCBI's taxonomy places the organism in Eukaryota, Metazoa, Chordata, Mammalia, Didelphimorphia, Didelphidae.
CAAAAGGUUCUAAUAAGAACUACAAAUUAUUAAUAACCAUAAGACU